GACGAACGCUGGCGGCGUGCCUAAUACAUGCAAGUUGAGCGCUGAAGGUUGGUACUUGUACCGACUGGAUGAGCAGCGAACGGGUGAGUAACGCGUGGGGAAUCUGCCUUUGAGCGGGGGACAACAUUUGGAAACGAAUGCUAAUACCGCAUAAAAACUUUAAACACAAGUUUUAAGUUUGAAAGAUGCAAUUGCAUCACUCAAAGAUGAUCCCGCGUUGUAUUAGCUAGUUGGUGAGGUAAAGGCUCACCAAGGCGAUGAUACAUAGCCGACCUGAGAGGGUGGUCGGCCACAUUGGGACUGAGACACGGCCCAAACUCCUACGGGAGGCAGCAGUAGGGAAUCUUCGGCAAUGGACGAAAGUCUGACCGAGCAACGCCGCGUGAGUGAAGAAGGUUUUCGGAUCGUAAAACUCUGUUGGUAGGGAAGAACGUUGGUGAGAGUGGAAAGCUCAUCAAGUGACGGUAACUACCCAGAAAGGGACGGCUAACUACGUG
Molecule: ribosomal RNA, 497 nt
Filed under: uncultured bacterium
Lineage: Bacteria
Description: partial 16S ribosomal RNA
Rfam family: Bacterial small subunit ribosomal RNA
Source: RNAcentral